CUUUACUAUAACUUGGAAUUGGGUUCGGGCUUUGCUUGCGCAGGAUAGGUGGGAGACUAUGAAGCAAUCCUUGUGGGGGUUGCUGAGUCAACGGUGAGAUACCACUCUGUCAGAGCUAGAAUUCUAACUAAAUGCCGUUAUCCGGCUUUGGAACCGUAUCAGGUGGGCAGUUUGACUGGGGCGGUCGCCUCCUAAAAGGUAACGGAGGCGCGCAAAGGUUCUCUCAGGCUGGUUGGAAAUCAGCCGUAGAGUGUAAAGGCAGAAGAGAGCUUGACUGCAAGAGCUACAACUCGAGCAGGGUGGAAACACGGCCUUAGUGAUCCGACGGCGCUGAGUGGAAGGGCCGUCGCUCAACGGAUAAAAGUUA
RNAcentral lists this ribosomal RNA (367 nucleotides) under uncultured organism. Its description in RNAcentral is "bacterial LSU rRNA". It matches the Rfam family "Bacterial large subunit ribosomal RNA", at positions 2099 to 2465 of the family's 2925-position model. The record is from RNAcentral.